UCGAUAAUUGAAUCGAGGAGUUCCGAAUACCUGAGCAUGCGCAUAUAUUUAAAACUAACUGCGCAUGCGCAGAUUACGGAAGUAGCUGUGUUUGGACACUUUGUAUUAGCAGUGAGGAAAUUCGGAAACACAAAAAGCAAAUGCAAGUUCAGAAACCACUGAAAGUGAACAUCAGUGGAACUUUGAUGAUCUAGGCCACUCUAUUGUUGCAGCAACACCAGCAGGCGUCGGACAUUCAUAAAGUUGAAAGAACAAACCUAUGACUUGAACACACAAUUUGUGAUCUGAAUAUAGUUCACAAAUUUAAGGAAAGCAACUAUUAAAGACAUCCAGAUCGGUGGUAUACAUGAAGUAUGAGUUAAAGGCUUUUCAGAAGAACAAGCACAAUCCCGAUUCAUUUUUGCCAUUGCCUUCUCCAAACGGCGACAUUCAGGACCUGACUUACUUUUCAGAAAAAGAAGAUGAAUCGAUUUUUGAAAGUUAAUCUAAAAAGAUAACAUUUACAUGGGUCGUGGAUUUGAAUUACAUUUUCUUGAUGGGCAACUAGUUUCAAGUAUUUGGAUGUCUAUUCUCAAGUUACUGCAAACCUUAAAUUAACUUCUUGAUUAUUAGUUAAAUGUGAGACCGUGUUAACUUGAAGUAAUCAUUUUUUGAAUUGAGCUAUGUAAUCUCUGAUUACUUAUGUUUAUGAGUAGUGUUCAGCUUUAAGACAAAAGGAUCCUUUAUGAACAUUGCAUUCGGCAUGGCGAAUUUCUAUACAUUAACAGUCAUAGUUUUCGUCUUUUUUAAUUAGCGAUCUCAUUUUAAAUGUGAGAAAUAAUUAUUAAACUGAAAUGUACAUUUAUGUUGUUUGAUUUUAAUUUUUUGAAAAUUAUAAAUCAAUUGCAUGUUGGUUUUUUUUUUUUUCAUUUUAUUUUAGGGGAUGGGAGUGGGGGUGCAGCUCUAAGUUUGAGUAUAUUUUCCAAAAGGAUGUACAUUGUUAUUUUUGUUUUAAGAUCAAUUUUAAAAUGCAAAAUGAUGAGAUAUUAGACUACACUUUUUUUCUUAAAACUUCAUUUUAAUUAAUAUAUUUUGUUUAAAAUAAGUAGCAAUAACAUGCAAGUUUUAAAGUUAUUUGACAACUCACUAUAUACUUGGUUUUUUUUUUACAUCUAUGAAGAUUGUCUCAAAUUUUGAGGUUUUUUUUCUGUGUUCUACAUUUAUUGACAUGUUUCUUGUCUGUGUUCAACUUGUCGAGUAACUGAAAAGUUUGAUUAAAUUUUUUUUAAAAAAAUCAGGAUCAUCUCUUUUAUUUAUUAUUAUUAAUUUACAAUGAAAUUAUGUAUGCUUUUGAUGCAUAAUGUACACUUCAAAUUCAUGCACCAGCAGAUUCAAAGGAAAAAUUAUCAUUAGAAAUAAGCAGUAAAGAUAAAGAGAUUAUCCAAUUUAAAAUAGUUUGAAAAAUAUUUAAAACAAAUUUUCGAGUAUGUUAUCAAAAUAGGAAAAAGUAUUAUGAGUAUUGUUUGGUAUUUUUAAUAGUAAAAAAAGGAUAUGACGUACUGGCAAUCGCAUCAUCUCACUCAGGGUCUUUCCGUCAGAGUUCGGAAAAACAACCUCGAAUGUAUUAACAUCACCUGAUGUUAAAGGUUUUGCUUUUCUUGUUUUUUUUUCAAAUAUAGGAUAGAGGAAGUAAGAAGUCCCUUUUAUAAUAUAUUUUAUGUAAUAUCAUAGCAUUGAAUAAAGUUAAACUCCAUAUUCCACAGAUAAAAGGUCUUCAU
Molecule: long non-coding RNA, 1757 nt
Organism: Saccostrea cuccullata (small rock oyster)
Lineage: Eukaryota; Metazoa; Mollusca; Bivalvia; Ostreida; Ostreidae
Exons: 3
Source: RefSeq, a predicted model, not a curated record